AGAGUUUGAUCCUGGCUCAGAUUGAACGCUGGCGGCAUGCUUUACACAUGCAAGGCGAACGGCAGCACGGGUGCUUGCACCUGGUGGCGAGUGGCGAACGGGUGAGUAAUGCACCGGAACGUACCCAGUAAUGGGGGAUAACACAUCGAAAGAUGUGCUAAUACCGCAUACGCCCUGAGGGGGAAAGCGGGGGAUCGUAAGACCUCGCGUUAUUGGAGCGGCCGAUGCCGGAUUAGCUAGUUGGUGAGGUAAGAGCUCACCAAGGCGACGAUCCGUAGCUGGUCUGAGAGGACGACCAGCCACACUGGGGCUGAGACACGGCCCAGACUCCUACGGGAGGCAGCAGCGGGGAAUUUUGGACAAUGGGCGCAAGC
RNAcentral lists this ribosomal RNA (374 nucleotides) under uncultured bacterium. Its description in RNAcentral is "bacterial SSU rRNA". It matches the Rfam family "Bacterial small subunit ribosomal RNA", at positions 8 to 382 of the family's 1533-position model. The record is from RNAcentral.